GUGGGGAAUAUUGGGCAAUGGGCGCAAGCCUGACCCAGCAACGCCGCGUGAAGGAAGAAGGCUUUCGGGUUGUAAACUUCUUUUGUCAGGGACGAAGCAAGUGACGGUACCUGACGAAUAAGCCACGGCUAACUACGUGCCAGCAGCCGCGGUAAUACGUAGGUGGCGAGCGUUAUCCGGAUUUACUGGGUGUAAAGGGCGUGUAGGCGGGCUUGCAAGUCAGAUGUGAAAUUCCAGGGCUUAACCUUGGAACUGCAUUUGAAACUGUAGGUCUUGAGUGCUGGAGAGGCAAUCGGAAUUCCGUGUGUAGCGGUGAAAUGCGUAGAUAUACGGAGGAACACCAGUGGCGAAGGCGGAUUGCUGGACAGUAACUGACGCUGAGGCGCGAAAGCGUGGGGAGCAAACAGG
This 408-nucleotide ribosomal RNA is filed under the name uncultured bacterium. RNAcentral describes it as "bacterial SSU rRNA". It matches the Rfam family "Bacterial small subunit ribosomal RNA", at positions 354 to 776 of the family's 1533-position model. The record is from RNAcentral.